UACGUAGGGUGCAAGCGUUGUCCGGAUUUAUUGGGCGUAAAGAGCUCGUAGGCGGUCUGUCGCGUCGGAUGUGAAAACCCAGGGCUCAACCCUGGGCCUGCAUUCGAUACGGGCAGGCUAGAGUACGGCAGGGGAGACUGGAAUUCCUGGUGUAGCGGUGAAAUGCGCAGAUAUCAGGAGGAACACCGGUGGCGAAGGCGGGUCUCUGGGCCGUAACUGACGCUGAGGAGCGAAAGCGUGGGGAGCGAACAGG
Molecule: ribosomal RNA, 253 nt
Filed under: uncultured bacterium
Lineage: Bacteria
Description: partial 16S ribosomal RNA
Rfam family: Bacterial small subunit ribosomal RNA
Source: RNAcentral